This 953-nucleotide ribosomal RNA is filed under the name Monosporascus ibericus. RNAcentral describes it as "SSU rRNA". It matches the Rfam family "Eukaryotic small subunit ribosomal RNA", at positions 76 to 1038 of the family's 1831-position model. The record is from RNAcentral. Lineage: Eukaryota; Fungi; Ascomycota; Sordariomycetes; Xylariales.
AUACCGCGAAACUGCGAAUGGCUCAUUAAAUCAGUUAUCGUUUAUUUGAUAGUACCUUACUACUUGGAUAACCGUGGUAAUUCUAGAGCUAAUACAUGCUAAAAAUCCCGACUCACGGAGGGAUGUAUUUAUUAGAUUAAAAACCAAUGCCCUUCGGGGCUUCUUGGUGAUUCAUAAUAACUUCGCGAAUCGCAUGGCCUUGUGCCGGCGAUGGUUCAUUCAAAUUUCUGCCCUAUCAACUUUCGAUGGCAGGGUCUUGGCCUGCCAUGGUUACAACGGGUAACGGAGGGUUAGGGCUCGACCCCGGAGAAGGAGCCUGAGAAACGGCUACUACAUCCAAGGAAGGCAGCAGGCGCGCAAAUUACCCAAUCCCGAUUCGGGGAGGUAGUGACAAUAAAUACCGAUACAGGGCUCUUUUGGGUCUUGUAAUUGGAAUGAGUACAAUUUAAAUCCCUUAACGAGUAACAAUUGGAGGGCAAGUCUGGUGCCAGCAGCCGCGGUAAUUCCAGCUCCAAUAGCGUAUAUUAAAGUUGUUGCAGUUAAAAAGCUCGUAGUUGAACCUUGGGCCUGGCUGGCCGGUCCGCCUCACCGCGUGCACUGGUUCGGCCGGGCCUUUCCCUCUGGGGAUCCCCAUGCCCUUCACUGGGUGUGGCGGGGAACCAGGACUUUUACUGUGAAAAAAUUAGAGUGUUCAAAGCAGGCCUAUGCUCGGAUACAUUAGCAUGGAAUAAUAGAAUAGGACGUGCGGUUCUAUUUUGUUGGUUUCUAGGACCGCCGUAAUGAUUAAUAGGGACAGUCUGGGGCAUCAGUAUUCAAUUGUCAGAGGUGAAAUUCUUGGAUUUAUUGAAGACUAACUACUGCGAAAGCAUUUGCCAAGGAUGUUUUCAUUAAUCAGGAACGAAAGUUAGGGGAUCGAAGACGAUCAGAUACCGUCGUAGUCUUAACCAUAAACU